Molecule: ribosomal RNA, 330 nt
Filed under: uncultured bacterium
Lineage: Bacteria
Description: bacterial SSU rRNA
Rfam family: Bacterial small subunit ribosomal RNA
Source: RNAcentral
AUUGAACGCUGGCGGCAUGCCUUACACAUGCAAGUCGAACGGCAGCACGGGAGCAAUCCUGGUGGCGAGUGGCGAACGGGUGAGUAAUAUAUCGGAACGUGCCCGGUCGUGGGGAUAACGUAGCGAAAGCUACGCUAAUACCGCAUACGAUCUACGGAUGAAAGCGGGGGAUCGCAAGACCUCGCGCGAUUGGAGCGGCCGAUAUCAGAUUAGGUAGUUGGUGAGGUAAAGGCUCACCAAGCCGACGAUCUGUAGCUGGUCUGAGAGGACGACCAGCCACACUGGGACUGAGACACGGCCCAGACUCCUACGGGAGGCAGCAGUGGGGAA